Agelaius phoeniceus (red-winged blackbird) is the source of this 398-nucleotide long non-coding RNA. RefSeq lists it as uncharacterized. NCBI's taxonomy places the organism in Eukaryota, Metazoa, Chordata, Aves, Passeriformes, Icteridae. The record is from RefSeq and is a predicted model, not a curated record.
CGGUCGGAGCGUGCCCCGAUCCCGGUCCCUCCUGGUGAAUUUCCUAACUGCCCCGGGUCCGAGGGGCUGUGCGCUGUGAGCUGAGCAGUCGGAAGUCCCGCAGCAAAAUCCACGCUGUUUCUCCUAACAUGCGAGACCAACCUUCCGCAGAGGCGCAGAAAGCUGCCCUCCAAUCCGCUGUGACAUGCAGGAAAACAUCCAGAGACUCCCAAAAUUAUAGAUAUUAGCAGUUUAGACUCUUCAAGGUCUUAUCAAGGAAGUCAAAACACACAGUAGCUACAAAUCUCUCUUUCAGCCUCCAGAGCUCUGAGCAUUUGGAUACCUUGACAAGCCCACACUGGAAAGGGCAGAGGAGAAAAAAGGAAAACAAAUGAGGCUUCAGUGAGUGAACUCCUAAA